This 253-nucleotide ribosomal RNA is filed under the name uncultured bacterium. Its description in RNAcentral is "partial 16S ribosomal RNA". It matches the Rfam family "Bacterial small subunit ribosomal RNA", at positions 524 to 776 of the family's 1533-position model. The record is from RNAcentral.
UACGGAGGGUGCGAGCGUUGUCCGGAAUCACUGGGCGUAAAGGGCGCGUAGGCGGCCUGAUAAGUCGGGGGUGAAAUCCUGCGGCUUAACCGCAGGGCUGCCUUCUAAACUGUCAGGCUAGAGCACAGUAGAGGCAGGUGGAAUUCCCGGUGUAGCGGUGGAAUGCGUAGAGAUCGGGAGGAACACCAGUGGCGAAGGCGGCCGGCUGGGGGUGACCUGACGCUGAGGCGCGAAAGCGUGGGGAGCGAACCGG